GCAAAAGCCCUAUUUAGGGCUACCGAAAAAUAUUUUGUUGAAUUUAU
Non-coding RNA from Picea glauca (white spruce), 47 nucleotides. The record is from Rfam. Lineage: Eukaryota; Viridiplantae; Streptophyta; Pinopsida; Pinales; Pinaceae.